Long non-coding RNA from Anthonomus grandis grandis, 2384 nucleotides. RefSeq lists it as uncharacterized. The record is from RefSeq and is a predicted model, not a curated record. NCBI's taxonomy places the organism in Eukaryota, Metazoa, Arthropoda, Insecta, Coleoptera, Curculionidae. The transcript has 3 exons.
UUAACGAUACCCGCGUAAAAAAGGUUUUGUUUGUUAUUGCUGUUAGUGAAAAACAAUACAAUGGACAAUAAUAAUUUGAGUGAUUGUGAAGAUCAUGAGACAAAGCCAGUAAGCACAAAAACUGAAGAGAACUUCAACGUUUUAUUACAAGGUGCGUAUAGUUCGUGAGAAUGUAGCAGUUGAAGAGCGAGUUUGCAAGAAUGCGUUUGUUUCUCUACAUGGUUUAACAAGACGUAGAAUAGAAACCAUACAAAAGAGUCUCCAGAUGAGUGGAACUGCACCUAUUGAUAAACGUGGCAGACAUUUGAAUAGAAAACACAAACUAAGCGUUGAAACUAAAAACAAAAUUUUAGAACACAUUAACACAAUAAAACUAAGAGAAUUUAUUUAUCUGCCGAGUUAAAUGUGAAAAAAUGUAUGAUAUGUUUAAAGAAAAAUUUCCUCAAGUUAAGGCUAGUUAUGAAACUUACCGCUCCAUAUUUUGCAGCAAGUUUAAUAUAUCCUUUGGAUAUCCCCGUAAAGAUACUUGUAGCUUCUGCGUCCAAUUAAAAGUACUUGAUUGAUGCAUGCCAAGAGGAAAAGGGCAUUAAGGAUUUGAUGUUUCAACAAAAACUACAUCUAGCGAAAGCCGAGGUAUUCUACGCGCGUAAAAAGCAGGCCAGGUUGAGGAGUCGAACAAAGGCCGACACAGAAGCAAUAUGCAUGGAUUUCGGAAGAAGUUUGCCCAUGCCGAAUUUAUCCACGAUUGAUGUAUACUACAGCCGACAGUUAUCAUUAUUUUCAUUUAUUGUACACAAACUCUCAAAUUCUGAAGUAUUCUUCUAUGCUUAUCCUGACACAGUAGGAAAAAAUGGCGCGACGAGGUCUGCUCAUUUUUAUUUGAUUAUAUUACCUUGAAUUACCUGUUUAAAGUUAGAAAUUUACAGAUAUUCAGUGAUUCGUGCUCCGGACAGAAUAAGAACUUUCCAGUGUUCAAAUUUUUACAUUACUUAGUCCAUCAGCGUUCCAAGCUUGAGUCCAUUGAAGUCACAUUUCCCAUUCGAGGUCACUCCUACAUGGAAUGUGAUAAGGAUAUGGGGAUCUUAAACGAAAAGUUUCGGGCGGAAAUACCGAAUGACUGGUGUAAACACAUAGAAACCGCUCGUUUAAAGCCCGCACCAUUUCUUGUUGAAAAAGUUGAUCGUUAUGUGAUUAGAAAUUGGACAGAUUUUCUAUCUGCAAUGUAUGUGAAAAAAUGUCCUUUCGCUACACGUCUAAUUCGGCAAUUAAAAAUUACCAAGGAACAUCCUUGCUUAGUUUUUCAUCGAGAUACUUACAAUGGUCUUUGGAACUCGUCAGUUAUUGUACCUCCAAGAAAAAAGAUAAUCACUGGUCCGCCGCUACCCGACGGUCAGUUUUACCACCCACUAGUCGCAACUUUUGAUGAUACACCUAUCCCUUUGGAAAAAUACAAGGACCUGCAGAAGUUAAAAAAAGUUUGCACCCCAGAGAGUCAGCUUUUUUAGUCUAAUUUAAAACACAAGUAGAGACAACUCCUUGGCUUGCUUUUUUCAGUUCAUCCCAUAAGAACCGAACCCAGAAGAGAAGUUUUAUUUUUUUCUAUUAUUACAACCAUUCUUUUAUAAAUACCUACAUAUAAAUAAAAUAAUACAUUAUACUUUAUGUUUGGUAAAUAAAUAACAGAGUAUAAAUAAUUAUUUAAGCAAAAUUUAAAUAUAAAUUAAUCAAUUGCCAAUGACUUAGCAGUUUGUUUCUUUCAUUGUAUAAGUAUAUACAAUGAAAGAACGUGCUAAGUCAGUGACAUAACACCUUUUUUCCCGGUAUUCGGAGUUGUUUGAAACUUUUGACACAUUGUGGUGAAGUACCAGUUUGAUAUUAUAUUACAAAAUGUCAUUGAGGACAUAGAGCAGGGUCAUAGCUUCAAUAUGAUGGCAAAUAAAUAACCAUUUUGCAAGCUGUGUAAUUAUCGUAGCGUUUCUAACCUUAACAUUCGUUUCCUGUUAAAAAAUAGAAAAAUGACUUGGCACGUUUUUCCCCUGUGGUCUUCAUUUUGUACUGUUGGUAACUCAGUUUUACAUUAAAAUUGUUCUAAAAAGAACUUAAAUGUGGGAACAGGAGCACCAAUAUCAAUUGAGUGGUCACAAAAGUCUCACUUAUUUUUCAGAAAAAAAACCAACAUUGACCAAAUGCAAAAUUGACGAACACUAACAAAACACACAGUUACGGUCUCACAAAGAAAUUAAAUAAUUAGUUCUAGAAAUAAAUGUGCUAAGCAGAGGGAAUUUUGUUUGAUGGUCGACUUGAUUAUAGAUUAAAAAACAGUUUUGAUCAUUGCUAUAUAGAUAGUAUAGAGACACUUUCUACUGAUCCAACAGAAUGCAAUA